Molecule: ribosomal RNA, 1024 nt
Filed under: Alcaligenes faecalis
Lineage: Bacteria; Pseudomonadati; Pseudomonadota; Betaproteobacteria; Burkholderiales; Alcaligenaceae
Description: bacterial SSU rRNA
Rfam family: Bacterial small subunit ribosomal RNA
Source: RNAcentral
GGGUAAAACCGGGUUGCUUUUCCUUGCUUGUCGCACGGCAGCGCGAGAGAGCUUGCUCUCUUGGCGGCGAGUGGCGGACGGGUGAGUAAUAUAUCGGAACGUGCCCAGUAGCGGGGGAUAACUACUCGAAAGAGUGGCUAAUACCGCAUACGCCCUACGGGGGAAAGGGGGGGAUCGCAAGACCUCUCACUAUUGGAGCGGCCGAUAUCGGAUUAGCUAGUUGGUGGGGUAAAGGCUCACCAAGGCAACGAUCCGUAGCUGGUUUGAGAGGACGACCAGCCACACUGGGACUGAGACACGGCCCAGACUCCUACGGGAGGCAGCAGUGGGGAAUUUUGGACAAUGGGGGAAACCCUGAUCCAGCCAUCCCGCGUGUAUGAUGAAGGCCUUCGGGUUGUAAAGUACUUUUGGCAGAGAAGAAAAGGUACCUCCUAAUACGAGGUACUGCUGACGGUAUCUGCAGAAUAAGCACCGGCUAACUACGUGCCAGCAGCCGCGGUAAUACGUAGGGUGCAAGCGUUAAUCGGAAUUACUGGGCGUAAAGCGUGUGUAGGCGGUUCGGAAAGAAAGAUGUGAAAUCCCAGGGCUCAACCUUGGAACUGCAUUUUUAACUGCCGAGCUAGAGUAUGUCAGAGGGGGGUAGAAUUCCACGUGUAGCAGUGAAAUGCGUAGAUAUGUGGAGGAAUACCGAUGGCGAAGGCAGCCCCCUGGGAUAAUACUGACGCUCAGACACGAAAGCGUGGGGAGCAAACAGGAUUAGAUACCCUGGUAGUCCACGCCCUAAACGAUGUCAACUAGCUGUUGGGGCCGUUAGGCCUUAGUAGCGCAGCUAACGCGUGAAGUUGACCGCCUGGGGAGUACGGUCGCAAGAUUAAAACUCAAAGGAAUUGACGGGGACCCGCACAAGCGGUGGAUGAUGUGGAUUAAUUCGAUGCAACGCGAAAAACCUUACCUACCCUUGACAUGUCUGGAAAGCCGAAGAGAUUUGGCCGUGCUCGCAAGAGAACCGGGAACACUGGUGCUG